GAGUCACGAAGAGUUUGAUCCUGGCUCAGGACGAACGCUGGCGGCGUGCCUAAUACAUGCAAGUCGAACGAACUCUGGUAUUGAUUGGUGCUUGCAUCAUGAUUUACAUUUGAGUGAGUGGCGAACUGGUGAGUAACACGUGGGAAACCUGCCCAGAAGCGGGGGAUAACACCUGGAAACAGAUGCUAAUACCGCAUAACAACUUGGACCGCAUGGUCCGAGCUUGAAAGAUGGCUUCGGCUAUCACUUUUGGAUGGUCCCGCGGCGUAUUAGCUAGAUGGUGGGGUAAUGGCUCACCAUGGCAAUGAUACGUAGCCGACCUGAGAGGGUAAUCGGCCACAUUGGGACUGAGACACGGCCCAAACUCCUACGGGAGGCAGCAGUAGGGAAUCUUCCACAAUGGACGAAAGUCUGAUGGAGCAACGCCGCGUGAGUGAAGAAGGGUUUCGGCUCGUAAAACUCUGUUGUUAAAGAAGAACAUAUCUGAGAGUAACUGUUCAGGUAUUGACGGUAUUUAACCAGAAAGCCACGGCUAACUACGUGCCAGCAGCCGCGGUAAUACGUAGGUGGCAAGCGUUGUCCGGAUUUAUUGGGCGUAAAGCGAGCGCAGGCGGUUUUUUAAGUCUGAUGUGAAAGCCUUCGGCUCAACCGAAGAAGUGCAUCGGAAACUGGGAAACUUGAGUGCAGAAGAGGACAGUGGAACUCCAUGUGUAGCGGUGAAAUGCGUAGAUAUAUGGAAGAACACCAGUGGCGAAGGCGGCUGUCUGGUCUGUAACUGACGCUGAGGCUCGAAAGUAUGGGUAGCAAACAGGAUUAGAUACCCUGGUAGUCCAUACCGUAAACGAUGAAUGCUAAGUGUUGGAGGGUUUCCGCCCUUCAGUGCUGCAGCUAACGCAUUAAGCAUUCCGCCUGGGGAGUACGGCCGCAAGGCUGAAACUCAAAGGAAUUGACGGGGGCCCGCACAAGCGGUGGAGCAUGUGGUUUAAUUCGAAGCUACGCGAAGAACCUUACCAGGUCUUGACAUACUAUGCAAAUCUAAGAGAUUAGACGUUCCCUUCGGGGACAUGGAUACAGGUGGUGCAUGGUUGUCGUCAGCUCGUGUCGUGAGAUGUUGGGUUAAGUCCCGCAACGAGCGCAACCCUUAUUAUCAGUUGCCAGCAUUAAGUUGGGCACUCUGGUGAGACUGCCGGUGACAAACCGGAGGAAGGUGGGGAUGACGUCAAAUCAUCAUGCCCCUUAUAACCUGGGCUACACACGUGCUACAAUGGAUGGUACAACGAGUUGCGAACUCGCGAGAGUAAGCUAAUCUCUUAAAGCCAUUCUCAGUUCGGAUUGUAGGCUGCAACUCGCCUACAUGAAGUCGGAAUCGCUAGUAAUCGCGGAUCAGCAUGCCGCGGUGAAUACGUUCCCGGGCCUUGUACACACCGCCCGUCACACCAUGAGAGUUUGUAACACCCAAAGUCGGUGGGGUAACCUUUUAGGAACCAGCCGCCUAAGGUGGGACAGAUGAUUAGGGUGAAGUCGUAACAAGGUAGCCGUAG
Molecule: ribosomal RNA, 1541 nt
Filed under: Lactiplantibacillus plantarum subsp. plantarum
Lineage: Bacteria; Bacillati; Bacillota; Bacilli; Lactobacillales; Lactobacillaceae
Description: Lactobacillus plantarum subsp. plantarum 16S ribosomal RNA
Rfam family: Bacterial small subunit ribosomal RNA
Source: RNAcentral